RNAcentral lists this ribosomal RNA (492 nucleotides) under uncultured bacterium. RNAcentral's name for it is "partial 16S ribosomal RNA". It matches the Rfam family "Bacterial small subunit ribosomal RNA", at positions 29 to 507 of the family's 1533-position model. The record is from RNAcentral.
AGUGAACGCUGGCGGUAGGCCUAACACAUGCAAGUCGAACGGCAGCACAGUAAGAGCUUGCUCUUACGGGUGGCGAGUGGCGGACGGGUGAGGAAUACAUCGGAAUUUACUUUUUCGUGGGGGAUAACGUAGGGAAACUUACGCUAAUACCGCAUACGACCUACGGGUGAAAGCAGGGGAUCUUCGGACCUUGCGCGAUUGAAUGAGCCGAUGUCGGAUUAGCUAGUUGGCGGGGUAAAGACCCACCAAGGCGACGAUCCGUAGCUGGUCUGAGAGGAUGGUCGGCCACACGGGAACGGAGACACGGUCCAGACUCCUACGGGAGGCAGCAGUGGGGAAUAUUGGACAAAGGGCGCAAGCCUGAUCCAGCCAUACCGCGUGGGUGAAGAAGGCCUUCGGGUUGUAAAGCCCUUUUGUUGGGAAAGAAAAGCAGCAGGUUAAUACCCCGCUGUUCUGACGGUACCCAAAGAAUAAGCACCGGCUAACUUCGUG